RNAcentral lists this long non-coding RNA (5364 nucleotides) under Panax ginseng (ginseng). RNAcentral describes it as "long non-coding RNA (PGIN_LNC005772)". The record is from RNAcentral. Lineage: Eukaryota; Viridiplantae; Streptophyta; Magnoliopsida; Apiales; Araliaceae.
CCAAUUGCCCAGUACGAAUAUAGAUACACAAAAGAUAUACAACUGAUAUACGAAAAUAACUGAGACAAAAUACUGAACAAAGCCUCAAGUGUAAAUACUGACGAAAAUAUAAUCUUUAAAGAUCUGAAUGGAAUAUAUCUGAAUCAACAGAAUUGACGAAACCAAAAGAAGAAUAAAGAAAUAACGAACUGAAGUAACUAACUCAAUGAAUUGAGCUGAAUAGAAACAAACAAAACUAAUACAAUGAAAUAAUAGGCUGAAUCAAAUGGUUGAGUAUUUUUUCAUACCGAAUGAGCUCAAAAAUAUACCUUGCCACCCAGGCAAGUCAAAAUAAUGCCACACAGACAAAUCAAAUGAUGCCACACAGGCAAGUCAAAAUAAUGCCACACAGGCACUCACACAUUGGAUCGCGAAUCCAAAUGUAUGCAAAUCAAAUAGGUGUGCUUGGCACAACAUCACCAAUCCGCAGAACAGAAAACUAGGGUUAACCCAUACGCCUCCCACAACAUAACACCAAAUGGCUCACUUCCUUCGGAGCCCAAAACGGAGACGCCGUGGACUAAUCACACCGCCACGGAAAGUGUCAUGUCUCUCGUGCCAAGACGACAUGCCUGUGGUACCCCUACAGGUGGUUAUAGCUCAGGUAUACCCUACGGUAUAUUUUAACAAAAAUACCAUGUCACAACACAUGCGACAUAAUACCAACAAAAGGGUUCUAAAUGUACAUGUUAAACUGAAUCAAAUAAUAGUCAUAAGGUCUCAAAAAGAAGGUAGCAACAUGUACCGCUCUACAAAUAUCAAAAAUAAUUAGUACUAAACAUGAUAACCUAAUUCAAAGAGUACAAAUACGAGUCAUAUGUAUCAACUCAAAAAUGAAACUAAUAUAUUUAUUUCACAAGAAACAAUUAUGUGAAAUUAUAACAGAAUUCGAAAUAAGGGAACAAAUGAACAAAUUAAAUUUAACAAGAGUAUCACUGAAAGAGUACGGAAUCCGUACCUGGAUUAAUCCGUCCAUGGACAUAACCUGUGUAACACCAUCUUGAUUACAGGGUAGAAGGGGAAAAUAUGGAUUUUGAUGAUAAUCAAAGUUGAACCUUCAUAUUCAACAAACAAUAAAGCUAUUAACUUCACUAAUCAGAAUCCUUCAACAGAUAACAUGUGUACUUCUUAAAAAAAAAAUACAAACUUGUCAGACAAAAAAAACAAAUUGCCUUAUUGCAUUGAUGAACUAGCCUCAACUGCAGUUCCUUGAAAUACUCCGAUUGUUGGCUUGGAUUUUUUUUUUAUAAUGCUUUUAAAGAAAACAUACAGUGUACUACUAUUACAUCAUAUACAUGCUCUCCAUAUGUCUAAAUCAAGCUGCUAAAGUCGGACUUAAUUGGAAUGUAUAAUCAUCCUCUAUUAAAAACAUAAUCAACCAAUCCAUAUUAUGUAAAUAUGCUGAACCCCACUUGCAACAGACCAACACUAAAUAUAAAUAAAAAAUUCCCUUUCCACAAUCAGUAUUUGUGUCAACCUUCUUUUCCUAAUUUACUUGCAUCAAACAAAUUUUAGUCACUCAGAACAUCUCUUUAAGUUAAAACAUCAUAACUUGUUUAACAAGCACGAAUUUCAAGGUCAAAAAAAAUGUCAGAAAAGUGUCUUCACAACCAAAAAAAUAAAAAUAACACCCAGAACCAAAACAAGUUUUAUUAUUCCAAACAUCAUGUUGAUUUAAUUUAAACCUAUUACUAAUUCAUCAAGCUCAAAUUUACCAUCAAAUCACCCCCUAAACUCAAAAGCCAGUAUACUAAUCACCUCUUAAUCUAUUAACCCAUUAUAAGUUUCUAAAUAUGCAACAAUUAAGUAAUACCCACAAUUAAAGCGAAUCAGAUAACCUUAGCAGCACCAAGAGUGACAUAAACUGGAAAAUCAGAUUGUAGAACAAUUGGCAACUAGUAUUUGCCAAAUAAUUUCACAAUUAAAGAAAAAAAAAACCCACUUUCAGAAACCAAAUCGAACAAAGGAAAAAUCAGAUACAGUAAAUCGUAGAAGCAGAGUAUGAGGAAAACACAAAUAUUUUACCUUUAAUGGCGAUGGUGCCCCGAGAGUAGUCGCUAGAGUCGCCGCACCAAGAGACCAAAUUCUUUGUCGAGUUAUAUCGAAUUUCUCCUCUUCGAUUUUUUUUUCUACCGCCUCGCCUACUUCUUUUUUUCUUGUGCCGCUUCACGCCCAAACUUCUUUCUUACGUUUGUAUGAGAUAUAAUACAGUGCAGUUAGGUUUUAUUUAUUGUCUUAUUAUUUCUCCUAAUUAUAAUAGGAUUUAUUAUUACCCACAUUUAAUUAUAUUAAACCCAAUAAAUUUUAAGGCCCAGAUUGUACUAAAUUAAUUUAUCCAUCUCUUAUUAAUACUUAUUAGACCACACAAAUUAAAUAACUAGUUUGACCCAAAUAAAUGACAGUCUAAUUAAUAUGUUUUAAAACAAAAUAAUUUUUUUUUUAUUUAAUAUUUUUUUCCCGGGUAUUACAUCACCUACCCCUUAAAAAGGAUUCCGUCCCCGGAAUAUAAAGAAUGAACGCACCAAUUUUUCAAAGAGAUGCGGAUACUCCGCUCGAAUAGACUCCUCUAUCUCCCAAGUAGCUUCCCGCUCUGAAUGAUUUUACCACAAGACUUUAACAAAAAGAAUUAUCUUCCUCAAUUUCCAUUUAAUCAGUUAUUUAAUUAUCUUCUAAAAGAAUUUAAUUUUCCAAACAAAACAAGGAAGAAAAGAGGGAAACAAAAUCAUUUACCUUUUCUAAUUUAAAUACAAUUGUAUAAGAUAAAAUCAAUUAAUAUUUAAUUAUAAAAAAAAUGGGUUACUACAUUUUUCACCCCUUAAAAAUAAUUCCGUCCUCGGAAUUCAAAUAGGCUACAAAAAAAAAUUAUUUAGUUACGACGUAGCGCCGCCAUUUGUAACGAUCAACGCGGAUAGGUCAUCGAUCCACGUAAUUAUCAAUGUACUUGUAAAAGAUUCAUCAGCUAUCGUGUCAAGCCUUGGUAAGGUUCUUCGCGUUGCAUUCAAUUAGAUCACAUGAUCCACCGUUGGUGCGGGCCAUCGCUAAUAUCUUUGAGUUUAAUUCUUGUAAACGUACUCUUCGGAACAUAAUUCGAAAUCACAAAAAUUUCUCUUCAUCUAAAUACGAUUUGAAUACCCAAAAUAUUUAAAAUUAUCUUUAAUUCGUAAAAUGUUUAUGUUCCACACAUGACGAAGAUCUAAUAAAUUAUUUUUAUUUAAUUUUACAUAAAUUCAUGCAAAACUCUAAGGGCAUUAGAUAAACGAAACAACUUAAAUUAUAUCACCUCUCACUAAGUCCUCAAGAGUUUCAAAAUAUAAUAACCUCAAAUCAAAUUAGUUCUCAAAUAAUAUUACACCAAAAAUAUAUUACUACUAAGAUCUCUUCAUCAUCAUACCAAACUCCAAGUCACAUAUUCUACCAUCUGCAUAAGUGAACUACAACCAUUCAAGAUCUCCAAUAAUCAAUUGAAUUUCAUCACUUACUAUCUAAUCAUAUAAUAAAUCAAUCAUCUCCCUUAUUGCAAACUUUAAUCCAAUAAAUUUCAAUGUCUCCCCAUACCAUCACAAAGAAACUUCGUAGAACAUAACUCCAAUAUUUUACUAGAAAGAAAAAUAGCCACACAAUUGAUCAUUAACUCCAAAUGAUUAAUCUAAUUACCUUGAAUAUCAACAACUCAAAUUACAAGAAAUCCUCUAUACUUAAAAUUUUUCACUUUACCAUAGUAUGCCAUCAAUACACAAACCUCAAAUUAUCCACAAGCUUAAUAUAAAUCAAAACCUAACUCAAAUCAAAUCCUCAAUUCAACGACCAUAAUAACUGUCACAAAAAAAAUAACUCUAAAAAAAAUAAUUUUCCAAAAAAUCAAAUACUCGUCGAUACAAAUACUCACAUCAUAAUCACAUUUCAUAUAAGAUCACUUCUUAUCUGUACAAAGUAUAACUUUAUUUACCUCAAUCAUUAAAUCACAAUUCUUAACUAAUAUCAUUACUCGAUCACCUUAACUAAUUAUUCCACUUUCCUCAAAUUAACUACAAAUUGAAAAGAAAACGACAAUUGGUCAAAAUAGAGACCAACCAAACAAAGAACAUAAUCGAACCAAACUCCUACGUCUACCCAAUGGUUUACCCACAACUCACAGGUCAAACCUAAAUAGGUUUUCUACAAGAAAGAACUUGGCUCUGAUACCAUCUCUGGAACACCCCCAUCCCGAAAAGGAAAGGGAGGUCACGUGCAAAGCACAACAAACCUCAAAAUAAGUAAAUAGAGCACUAAUAACUUCAAAAUAUUAAUAAUGGUGAUCCAUUAAUAAAGUACUAAAUACAAUUCUCCAACUAAAGUCAAAAAAAUCAACACACAAAAAAAAUUAAAUUGAAUUAACCUAGAUGGUCAAAGGCAACAGUCACAUCACACUAGCCAUAAAUCACCCUUGCAAACCUGCCAGAAGAAAAACACAACAUGAGCCAAUUGCCCAGUACGAAUAUAGAUACACAAAAGAUAUACAACUGAUAUACGAAAACAACUGAGACAAAAUACUGAACCAAGCCUCAAGUGUAAAUACUGACAAAAAUAUAAUCUCUAAAGAUCUGAAUGGAAUAUAUCUGAAUCAACAGAAUUGACGAAACCAAAAGAAGAAUAAAGAAAUAACGAACUUAAGUAACUAACUCAAUGAAUUGAACUGAAUAGAAACAAACAAAACUAAUACAAUGAAAUAAUAGGCUGAAUCAAAUGGUUGGGUGUUAUUUCAUACCAAAUGAGCUAAGAAAUAUACCUUGCCACCCAGGCAAGUCAAAAUAAUGCCACACAGGCAAAUCAAAUGAUGCCACAUAGGCAAGUCAAAAUAAUGCCACACAGACACUCACACAUUGGAUCGCGAAUCCAAAUGUAUGCAAAUCAGAUAGGUGUGUUUGGCACAACAUCACCAAUCCGCAGAACAAAAAACUAGGGUUAAUCCAUACGCCUCCCAUAACAUAACACCAAAUGGCCCACUUCCUUCGGAGCCCAAAACGGAGACGCCGUGGACUAAUCACACCGCCACGGAAAGUGUCAUGUCUCUCGUGCCAAGACGACAUGCCUGUGGUACCCCCACAGGUGGUUAUAGCUCAGGUAUACCCUACGGUAUAUUCUAACAAAAAUACCAUGUAACAACACAUGCGACAUAAUACCAACAAAAGGGUUCUAAAUGUACAUGUUAAACUGAAUCAAAUAAUAGUCACAAGGUCUCAAAAAGAAGGUAGCAACUUGUACCGCUCUACAAAUAUCAAAAAUAAUUAGUACUAAACAUGAUAACCUAAUUCAAAGAGUACAAAUACGAGUCAUAUGUAUCAACUC